AUGCAACUGAUAUUCGAUGUUGCAAAUGGUCUUCAAUUAUUGUAGCUUCAUAUUAUUCAAGAAGCAUAUUAUAUAAAGUUUUCUCUGAAAAAGGUCUUGCCAAAAUGAGUUAAGAACAUAUCUUACCCAUCAUUGCUAUCAUACUAACCCACCAAUCCUAAAACCUUUGCACUGUGCAUCACCUUAUUAUAACUAAAUAGAAUGUAAAUCACACAAAAAAUACUGACUGAUAAAAAAAAUACUGAAAAUUUAGUUUAUCAAAAACUCAUAAUUUGAACAACGUGUUUUUUAGCAUAGAAGAUAAACAUCGAAAGGCUAAGAAAAAUCAAUGGAACAAUUGCAGGGAGCCAAAAGUUUUUCAAUUCUUCUUUCCCUUCUUAAUGAAAUCCCCUCUCCUUUCCACCUACCCUAAAAAAAGGUAGUAGGCAAUCAGACUGUAAUGGUAUUCUAAGAUGAACUCACAUGAUUUCCUAUUAUUAAAAUUUAACAAUUUAAAGAAAAAUUGAAGAGCAAAACACAUACUAUAAAACCUAGAUUCUAAAAAGUAUAAUCUCAUUUGUAAUUAGGAACUCGAGAACAAAGCAACUCACACAAUAAUGAACAACAAUUUAACCCAAUUAUACAUAGAUCCACAAGAAUACUUAAACAAUUUCAGUUUCAAACUCUACAUCGGAAAGUAAAUAAAGAAGACAUAGCGCAACAGAAACUAAGAAAGAGCAUGACAAACUUUUAUUUUUCGAAUUGUGCUGACUUACUAUGUAGAGAAGAUGAUGAAGAAGGGGAAUUGAGCUUACCUUUCUGGCGAAUUGGGAAGCGAAAAUUGACUCCUGAAAUUUUUCGUGAGUUGGAUAGGGGGAAUUGAGCCCUUCUGGAAGAUAUCGUGCCCUAUGAAAAAAAGGAGGGAGAAAAGGAGAGGAAAUUUUG
RNAcentral lists this long non-coding RNA (924 nucleotides) under Nicotiana tabacum (common tobacco). Its description in RNAcentral is "long non-coding RNA (NTAB_LNC015340)". Lineage: Eukaryota; Viridiplantae; Streptophyta; Magnoliopsida; Solanales; Solanaceae. The record is from RNAcentral.